RNAcentral lists this ribosomal RNA (401 nucleotides) under uncultured bacterium. RNAcentral's name for it is "bacterial SSU rRNA". It matches the Rfam family "Bacterial small subunit ribosomal RNA", at positions 355 to 773 of the family's 1533-position model. The record is from RNAcentral.
UGGGGAAUAUUGGACAAUGGGCGCAAGCCUGAUCCAGCCAUGCCGCGUGAGUGAUGAAGGUCUUAGGAUUGUAAAGCUCUUUCACCGGAGAAGAUAAUGACGGUAUCCGGAGAAGAAGCCCCGGCUAACUUCGUGCCAGCAGCCGCGGUAAUACGAAGGGGGCUAGCGUUGUUCGGAAUUACUGGGCGUAAAGCGCACGUAGGCGGAUAUUUAAGUCAGGGGUGAAAUCCCAGAGCUCAACUCUGGAACUGCCUUUGAUACUGGGUAUCUAGAGUAUGGAAGAGGUGAGUGGAAUUCCGAGUGUAGAGGUGAAAUUCGUAGAUAUUCGGAAGAACACCAGUGGCGAAGGCGACUCGCUGGACAGGUAUUGACGCUGAGGUGCGAAAGCGUGGGGAGCAAAC